CGGCAACGGAUAUCUCGGCUCUCGCAUCGAUGAAGAACGUAGCGAAAUGCGAUACUUGGUGUGAAUUGCAGAAUCCCGUGAACCAUCGAGUCUUUGAACGCAAGUUGCGCCCGAAGCCAUCAGGCCGAGGGCACGCCUGCCUGGGCGUCACACGCCGUUGCCCCC
This 165-nucleotide ribosomal RNA is filed under the name Malus domestica (apple). Its description in RNAcentral is "5.8S ribosomal RNA". The stretch from base 3 to 150 matches the Rfam family "5.8S ribosomal RNA". From Rfam's summary of the family: 5.8S ribosomal RNA (5.8S rRNA) is a component of the large subunit of the eukaryotic ribosome. It is transcribed by RNA polymerase I as part of the 45S precursor that also contains 18S and 28S rRNA. The record is from RNAcentral. Lineage: Eukaryota; Viridiplantae; Streptophyta; Magnoliopsida; Rosales; Rosaceae. RNAcentral also lists the same sequence under 18 other names.